UNUGACUUGAGUGCAGAAGGGGAGAGUGGAAUUCCAUGUGUAGCGGUGAAAUGCGUAGAUAUAUGGAGGANCACCAGUGGCGAAAGCGGCUCUCUGGUCUGUCACUGACGCUGAGGCUCGAAAGCGUGGGCAGCGAACAGGAUUAGAUACCCUGGUAGUNCACGCCGUAAACGAUGAGUGCUAGGUGUUAGGCCCUUUCCGGGGCUUAGUGCCGGAGCUAACGCAAUAAGCACUCCGCCUGGGGAGUACGACCGCAAGGUUGAAACUCAAAGGAAUUGACGGGGGCCCGCACAAGCGGUGGAGCAUGUGGUUUAAUUCGAAGCAACGCGAAGAACCUUACCAGGUCUUGACAUCCCGAUGCUAUUCUUAGAGAUAGGAAGUUACUUCGGUACAUCGGAGACAGGUGGUGCAUGGUUGUCGUCAGCUCGUGUCGUGAGAUGUUGGGUUAAGUCCCGCAACGAGCGCAACCCUUAUUGUUAGUUGCCAUCAUUAAGUUGGGCACUCUAGCGAGACUGCCGGUAAUAAACCGGAGGAAGGUGGGGAUGACGUCAAAUCAUCAUGCCCCUUAUGACCUGGGCUACACACGUGCUACAAUGGUCGGUACAACGAGUUGCGAGCCGGUGACGGCAAGCUAAUCUCUGAAAGCCGAUCUCAGUUCGGAUUGGAGGCUGCAACUCGCCUCCAUGAAGUCGGAAUCGCUAGUAAUCGCGGAUCAGCACGCCGCGGUGAAUACGUUCCCGGGCCUUGUACACACCGCCCGUCACACCACGAGAGUUUGUAACACCCGAAGUCGGUGAGGUAACCUUUUAGGGGCCAGCCGC
This 821-nucleotide ribosomal RNA is filed under the name uncultured bacterium. Its description in RNAcentral is "bacterial SSU rRNA". It matches the Rfam family "Bacterial small subunit ribosomal RNA", at positions 636 to 1456 of the family's 1533-position model. The record is from RNAcentral.